Molecule: long non-coding RNA, 352 nt
Organism: Pollicipes pollicipes
Lineage: Eukaryota; Metazoa; Arthropoda; Thecostraca; Pollicipedomorpha; Pollicipedidae
Exons: 3
Source: RefSeq, a predicted model, not a curated record
ACCCGGUCCGUUUGUCAAUACUCGUCCUUGGUGCACGGACUGGACACCACGGUCGCGAGCGCAGCACGCACAGAGCCAUGAUCAGCCUCGUGGCCUCGCGCAGGAAGCGCGCGCAGCAACAGCGAGAGCAGGAGGAGGAGGAGGAGAGCAGCGAGACUGAGACCAGCGCCAGCGAGACUGAGACCGAGAGCGAGUCGGAAGACGAGAAGGGCGAGAAGAAGUACCACAACAUAUGCAAAGAUAUGCCGAAGCCUGGCAACAAACCCAAUAAGAAGUAAAGCAUGGAGCAUCCAUUGCGACUGGAGAACGAUAGAAUGAGUGUCAUGGUAUAAAUAUAUCGUAAGACAACACC